ACACUGCAGGUCUGUCGCCAAGCGGUAAGGCAACGGGUUUUGAUCCCGUCAUACCUAGGUUCGAAUCCUAGCAGA
This 75-nucleotide transfer RNA is filed under the name Vibrio cholerae O395. RNAcentral describes it as "tRNA-Gln". It matches the Rfam family "tRNA". From Rfam's summary of the family: Transfer RNA (tRNA) molecules are approximately 80 nucleotides in length. Lineage: Bacteria; Pseudomonadati; Pseudomonadota; Gammaproteobacteria; Vibrionales; Vibrionaceae. The record is from RNAcentral.